Molecule: long non-coding RNA, 543 nt
Organism: Piliocolobus tephrosceles (Ugandan red Colobus)
Lineage: Eukaryota; Metazoa; Chordata; Mammalia; Primates; Cercopithecidae
Source: Ensembl
UUUGGUUUAUUUUUACUUGCUUUGGUUUAUUUUUACUUACUUUGGUUUAUUUUUACUUGCUUUGGUUUAUUUUUACUUGCUUUGGUUAAUUUUGCUAUUUAUUGCCGCUUUCUACCUUGCUAUAUACUUCCCUACUUGAGUCAUUUACGUUUUAUAAAAAAUAUAUACCCGUUUGUUACCACGCCUCAAUUUAGUUACUUUUUUUGUACAUGUGUUCACUUUUUUUUUUUUUUUUUUUUUUUUUUUAAUUCUUCUUUUAAUGUAUGAAUUUAUAUAUUCGCAUGUACGUUCAUAUAUUUAUAUAUAUAUUUAUACAUUUGUGACCGUUUGUUUUAUAAAACAACAUUUCAAAUUUAGCUAGCUAUUCCCUUUUUUAUGUAGUUUGCAUAAUGUUACUAGUAAGUUAAUAACUUUUGAUGUUAAGAAUAGAAUAUUCAUAUAUGUAUAUGUGUUUAUAUAUUUUGAGUUUUUUUUUCUUUUUUUAAUAUUUUUGCUUUUACGUAAAAAUAAUUAAUCUUAAUAAAUAAAACUUUGAACAGUCCA